Molecule: non-coding RNA, 119 nt
Filed under: Lysinibacillus fusiformis
Lineage: Bacteria; Bacillati; Bacillota; Bacilli; Caryophanales; Bacillaceae
Description: FMN riboswitch aptamer (RFN element)
Rfam family: FMN riboswitch aptamer (RFN element)
About the family: The RFN element is a highly conserved domain that is found frequently in the 5'-untranslated regions of prokaryotic mRNAs that encode for flavin mononucleotide (FMN) biosynthesis and transport proteins. This element is a metabolite-dependent riboswitch that directly binds FMN in the absence of proteins.
Source: RNAcentral
GUUCUUCGGGGUAGGGUGAAAUUCCCAAUCGGCGGUGAUGAAGCAAUUCAAAGUCCGUGAGCGCAAGCUGAUUUGGUGCAAAUCCAAAACCGACAGUGAUAGUCUGGAUGGGAGAAGAA